Molecule: ribosomal RNA, 89 nt
Filed under: Enterococcus faecalis
Lineage: Bacteria; Bacillati; Bacillota; Bacilli; Lactobacillales; Enterococcaceae
Also listed under: 3 other names
Source: RNAcentral
CCUGUAACCAUGCCGAACACAGAAGUUAAGCUUCUUAGCGCCGAUUGUAGUGAGGGGUUGCCCCUUGUGAGAGUAGGACGUCGCCACGC